GAUGAACGCUGGCGGCGUGCUUAACACAUGCAAGUCGAACGAAGCACCUUGAUUCGAUUCUUCGGAUGAAGAUCUUGGUGACUGAGUGGCGGACGGGUGAGUAACGCGUGGGUAACCUGCCUCAUACAGGGGGAUAACAGUUAGAAAUGACUGCUAAUACCGCAUAAGACCACAGCACCGCAUGGUGCAGGGGUAAAAACUCCGGUGGUAUGAGAUGGACCCGCGUCUGAUUAGGUAGUUGGUGGGGUAACGGCCUACCAAGCCGACGAUCAGUAGCCGAGCUGAGAGGGUGACCCGACACAGUGAGACUGAGACACGGCCCAAACUCCUACGGGAGGCAGCAGUGGGGAAUAUUGCACAAUGGGGGAAACCCUGAUGCAGCGACGCCGCGUGAGCGAUGAAGUAUUUCGGUAUGUAAAGCUCUAUAAGCAGGGAAGAAAAUGACGGUACCUGAAGAAGAAGCACCGGCUAAAUACGUG
This 479-nucleotide ribosomal RNA is filed under the name uncultured bacterium. Its description in RNAcentral is "partial 16S ribosomal RNA". It matches the Rfam family "Bacterial small subunit ribosomal RNA", at positions 28 to 507 of the family's 1533-position model. The record is from RNAcentral.